CCGUUGCCGGCGACCGGCGCACGGGUGAGUAACACGUAUGCAACCUGCCCGUGGCAGGGGGAUAAGCGGGGGAAACCCCGUCUAAUACCGCGUAACGCGGCCUUGGGGCAUCCCAAGGCCGCCAAAGGGAGCAAUCCCGGCCACGGAUGGGCAUGCGGCGCAUUAGCUAGUCGGCGGGGUAACGGCCCACCGAGGCGACGAUGCGUAGGGGUUCUGAGAGGAAGGCCCCCCACACUGGUACUGAGACACGGACCAGACUCCUACGGAAGGCAGCAG
This 276-nucleotide ribosomal RNA is filed under the name uncultured bacterium. Its description in RNAcentral is "partial 16S ribosomal RNA". It matches the Rfam family "Bacterial small subunit ribosomal RNA", at positions 82 to 354 of the family's 1533-position model. The record is from RNAcentral.